UACGGGGGGGGUAAGCGUUGUUCGGAAUUACUGGGCGUAAAGGGCGCGCAGGCGGCUGCUCAAGUCAGGCGUGAAAGGCCUGGGCUCAACCCGGGAAUUGCGCUUGAGACUGGGCUGGCUUGAGUGCGGGAGAGGAUGGUGGAAUUCCCAGUGUAGAGGUGAAAUUCGUAGAUAUUGGGAAGAACACCGGUGGCGAAGGCGGCCAUCUGGACCGCAACUGACGCUGAGGCGCGAAAGCGUGGGGAGCAAACAGG
This 254-nucleotide ribosomal RNA is filed under the name uncultured bacterium. RNAcentral describes it as "partial 16S ribosomal RNA". It matches the Rfam family "Bacterial small subunit ribosomal RNA", at positions 524 to 776 of the family's 1533-position model. The record is from RNAcentral.